CCCCCCCAUAAAAAGAGGAGCUCUUUCCUCAUUUCGGGGGACUCAAAAAAGACACACUCUAACAAACUUAACCAUCACCUUCUACACCUUAAAAAGGCACAAAAACUUCUGAAAAAAUUAGCUGAACAUACUGAAUAGUAAGCUGAAAAUUCUGAACUUUGUGAGUGUUUCUUAGAGUGUAAGACUUGUAAGAAAAUAAAGGAAUCCUAGGUGAUUUCUUCGGGAAGUAGCUACUGGUUUCAAAUACUUUCUUGCUGGAUUUUUCUGGGCUGUUUCUCGGAUCAUACGUUGUUGAUUUUGAUGUUGUUGCAUUGCUGUUAGUUGCUGAAAUUUAGUCCCUCCCUUAUUAAUAUUUUUUUUUGUUGCUCAGGUAAUUUCCUCAACUGUUGUGCUACUUCUGGGUCAAGAAUGUAUGCAAAAAUGAGAUAAUUUUCUGCUUCUUUAGUUUACUUUCAUGCCUUCAAUAAGGUCCGCUCAUUAUGAUGAAUAUAUAUGGAAUACCUGUAAUUAAAUAGUUCCAACUUUUCUUAUUUUCUUGUCAAGUUAUUAGAGUUGCGGAUACAAGUUAUGUUAGGGGUGUGUGAAUUACUUCAUAUCAGUUUUUUUAUUCAUAUUGUUUGUGUUGUUCUAAAAAUCAUCAUGCGGAUCUUAGUUGUGGAGGUUGCCUAAAUUUAUAAAUUUGAAGUAAAGUUUAGUUCUUAUAUCAUGAGUUGGAAAUAAUUAAUUUAAAUUAGCUAAAUGUUUAAAGAAAUAAAUUUGAUUAUUUUCUUGAUUGUUCUAUGUUCGUAAUUAAAAAUUACUGUUUGUGGCUUAAAUAUCUUUUGUUGUUGGAAUACCAUUCGAGUUCAACUUGUCAAUGAUGGUUGCUCAACUUCUUCUAAAUUAGUGAUAUUUACAAAUCAUGUAACUAUCUGAACUCUCAUGCUAGUCUAAAGUUAUUUUUCAUGGGUAUCAAAAUUUAAUUUUUUUUCAUAAAAUUAGAAUACGUAUACGGGUUUGAUAAGACUAUGAUAUCAAUGAGGAUGUGAAAAGGGGUUUUUCUUUGAGGUGUUAUAUUGGUGUAAAGACUCUCGGUGAACUUUGGCCAAAUUUUAGUUUCAUAUAAAAAUAAUAUUUUUCCUAAAGAAAUAUAAAUCCGUUAGGCCAAAUAGGUGUGAGAUCGUUAAGUUAUUAUUUUUUUAAUGGUAUAUUUUUAUAUUUUUCAUGGAUAAAUAGAAAAGAGAAAGGGAAGAAAGAAAGUGAUUUGCGGCAGUUUGUUUUCUUGCACUUAGAAUUGAGAAAAUUGUAUUUUAAAAUCAUAGUGGGCCCAGUACUAUUUAACGAUC
RNAcentral lists this long non-coding RNA (1325 nucleotides) under Nicotiana benthamiana. RNAcentral describes it as "long non-coding RNA (NBEN_LNC002811)". Lineage: Eukaryota; Viridiplantae; Streptophyta; Magnoliopsida; Solanales; Solanaceae. The record is from RNAcentral.